GGAGUCGUUUGUUCCGUGGCGUAAGAUCGAGCAUCCGGAUUUUCCCGGCAAAAACGUUGAAGUCGGUGGCUAUGCUCCGUUUGCGCGAUCGAAUCCGCCGGAGCGUUUGCUGGAAGGUUUGGCGCAAAAGCAUGGCCUUUUCCUGACGCAACUGGCUGAGAAAUUUCCCGAAUUGCGCGUGCGACAAACGAAAGUGAAGAAUCUCGGCAACGGGGUAUUCGACAUUACCGUGCAGAUCGAGAACAGCGGGUAUCUUCCGACAGCGCUGGUCCAGGGAGGGGUUACGCGCGAGGUGCACCCAACGCUCGUUGAACUGAAAGUCGAUGAUAAGGCGAUUCUGU
This 341-nucleotide unclassified non-coding RNA is filed under the name plant metagenome. RNAcentral's name for it is "partial contains 5.8S ribosomal RNA, internal transcribed spacer 2, and large subunit ribosomal RNA". The record is from RNAcentral.